UAGCCGUAAACGAUACUCGCUAGGUGUCGGCCACGGUGCGACCCGUUGUCGGUGCCGUAGGGAAGCCGUGAAGCGAGCCACCUGGGAAGUACGGCCGCAAGGCUAGAAACUUAAAGGAAUUGGCCGGGGGGAGCACAACAACGGGUCGGAGCUUGCGGUUUAAUUGGAUUCAACGCCGGAAAUCUUACCGGGACCGACAGCAACAUGAAGGCCAGGCUGAAGACUUUGCCGGAUUAGCUGAGAGGUGGUGCAUGGCGUAGUCGUGU
Molecule: ribosomal RNA, 266 nt
Filed under: uncultured archaeon
Lineage: Archaea
Description: partial 16S ribosomal RNA
Rfam family: Archaeal small subunit ribosomal RNA
Source: RNAcentral